RNAcentral lists this transfer RNA (84 nucleotides) under Acidimicrobiales bacterium. RNAcentral's name for it is "tRNA-Leu". It matches the Rfam family "tRNA". From Rfam's summary of the family: Transfer RNA (tRNA) molecules are approximately 80 nucleotides in length. Their secondary structure includes four short double-helical elements and three loops (D, anti-codon, and T loops). Lineage: Bacteria; Bacillati; Actinomycetota; Acidimicrobiia; Acidimicrobiales. The record is from RNAcentral.
GCCCGGGUGGCGAAAUCGGCAGACGCGGCGGAUUCAAAAUCCGUUGUCUUUACAGACGUGCGGGUUCGACUCCCGCCCCGGGCA